UACAGAGGGGGCAAGCGUUGUUCGGAAUUACUGGGCGUAAAGGGCGCGUAGGCGGCCUGCUAAGUCGAACGUGAAAUCCCCGAGCUCAACUCGGGAACUGCGUCCGAUACUGACAGGCUUGAAUCCGGGAGAGGGAUGCGGAAUUCCAGGUGUAGCGGUGAAAUGCGUAGAUAUCUGGAGGAACACCGGUGGCGAAGGCGGCAUCCUGGACCGGCAUUGACGCUGAGGAGCGAAAGCCAGGGGAGCAAACGGG
This 253-nucleotide ribosomal RNA is filed under the name uncultured bacterium. RNAcentral's name for it is "partial 16S ribosomal RNA". It matches the Rfam family "Bacterial small subunit ribosomal RNA", at positions 524 to 776 of the family's 1533-position model. The record is from RNAcentral.